Oncorhynchus masou masou (cherry salmon) is the source of this 801-nucleotide non-coding RNA. NCBI's taxonomy places the organism in Eukaryota, Metazoa, Chordata, Actinopteri, Salmoniformes, Salmonidae. The record is from the annotation of a RefSeq genome assembly.
UCAUAUUUGUAUUAUCUAGAAACAGCUAAUAUGAAGUGUUUGUUCUACCUGGAAGAUGGUAAAGUGUAUUUGUGUUUUAGUGUGAUUCUGUAUGAGUGAUCUUCACUGUAACAGCUGCAGCAACACAACACAGAGAGGUUUUUGUACCAGCAGUAAUAGGAUUGUAUCACUGUGGUACACUUUUGGUAGCGGCACCAGACUAGAUGUUGGAAGUAACAGUGCCCCCACCCUCACCGUCCUGCCCCCCUCUAGUGAGGAGCUGUCCAGUACAACAACAGCCACACUGAUGUGUCUGGCCAACAAGGGCUUCCCCUCAGACUGGACCAUUAGAUGGAAAGUGGACGGGACCAGCCAGAAGCAGGAGACCAGUCCCGGGGUCCUGGAGAAGGAUGGUCUGUACAGCUGGAGCAGCACCCUGACCCUCACUGCCCAGGAGUGGACCAAGGCAGGAGAGGUGACCUGUGAAGCCCACCAGAGCUCCCAGCCUACAGUCACCAAGACCCUGAAGAGGGCUGACUGUUCUGGGUAGGACCCACCAGUCACACACCCCUGUGGAGAGAGGACGCUGGUUCCUCGGCUUUGACUCUGUUCUGAGAUCAGAUGUUCUCUGUCUUAUUGAUCACUGACAUGUAGACUAACAGAGGGCUUUGCUUGAGUCAUUGUGUCAAUCCUCUCUGUAGACUGAGAUUGUAUCAGUGUUAGAUUUGAUGUGUUCUGUUUUAUUACUUUUAGAUACUGUAGGAAUGAUUGCUUUGAUGCUUUGAUUAAUAGACAAAAAUAAAGACUUCUCGUUGGAACAAA